UCGAGCGGAAGGCCCUUCGGGGUACUCGAGCGGCGAACGGGUGAGUAACACGUGAGCAACCUGCCCCAAGCUUUGGGAUAACCCUCGGAAACGGGGGCUAAUACCGAAUAUUACUGUUGGCCGCAUGGCUGGUGGUGGAAAGUUUUUCGGCUUGGGAUGGGCUCGCGGCCUAUCAGCUUGUUGGUGGGGUGAUGGCCUACCAAGGCGACGACGGGUAGCCGGCCUGAGAGGGCGACCGGCCACACUGGGACUGAGACACGGCCCAGACUCCUACGGGAGGCAGCAGUGGGGAAUAUUGCACAAUGGGCGGAAGCCUGAUGCAGCGACGCCGCGUGAGGGAUGACGGCCUUCGGGUUGUAAACCUCUUUCAGCAGGGACGAAGCGAGAGUGACGGUACCUGCAGAAGAAGCACCGGCCAACUACGUGCCAGCAGCCGCGGUAAGACGUAGGGUGCGAGCGUUGUCCGGAUUUAUUGGGCGUAAAGAGCUCGUAGGCGGCUUGUCGCGUCGACCGUGAAAACUUGGGGCUCAACUCCAAGCCUGCGGUCGAUACGGGCAGGCUAGAGUUCGGUAGGGGAGACUGGAAUUCCUGGUGUAGCGGUGAAAUGCGCAGAUAUCAGGAGGAACACCGGUGGCGAAGGCGGGUCUCUGGGCCGAUACUGACGCUGAGGAGCGAAAGCGUGGGGAGCGAACAGGAUUA
RNAcentral lists this ribosomal RNA (699 nucleotides) under Micromonospora sp. CNY-527. RNAcentral describes it as "bacterial SSU rRNA". It matches the Rfam family "Bacterial small subunit ribosomal RNA", at positions 62 to 780 of the family's 1533-position model. Lineage: Bacteria; Bacillati; Actinomycetota; Actinomycetes; Micromonosporales; Micromonosporaceae. The record is from RNAcentral.